This 321-nucleotide long non-coding RNA is filed under the name Brassica rapa (field mustard). RNAcentral describes it as "long non-coding RNA (BRAP_LNC005116)". The record is from RNAcentral. Lineage: Eukaryota; Viridiplantae; Streptophyta; Magnoliopsida; Brassicales; Brassicaceae.
UUUCAAAAACAUUCUCUUUUCACGAGAGUAUAAAAAACAGAGUAUUAAGAUAUAUUAUCAACUUAAAGAAACAGAUUCAGAAACAUAGUAUCAUUUUAACAUAGUAUCAACUCAAAGAAACAGACUCAGAAACAUAGUAUCAACUCAAAGAAACAGACUCAUAAUCACCCAAGACAUUUCAUAUAGAUCAUCACAUAAGAUCAAGGUAGCCUUCUGAAAUAGAUCUCCACUGUUUGAAGAACCUGAUGGAUGACUUCUUAUGGAUGCUAGUUGCUACCUACCUGUACACGUACACAAGUUGAGUAUCAGACCAAAGUUAGC